UCCAGGCUUGUGUUCCCCGGACUUGGA
This 27-nucleotide non-coding RNA is filed under the name Rattus norvegicus (Norway rat). The record is from RNAcentral. Lineage: Eukaryota; Metazoa; Chordata; Mammalia; Rodentia; Muridae.